GAGUUUGAUCGUGGCUCAGAUUGAACGCUGGCGGCAUGCCUUACACAUGCAAGUCGAACGGCAGCACGGGAGCUUGCUCCUGGUGGCGAGUGGCGAACGGGUGAGUAAUGCAUCGGAACGUAUCCCGGAGUGGGGGAUAACGUAGCGAAAGUUACGCUAAUACCGCAUAUUCUGUGAGCAGGAAAGCGGGGGACCUUCGGGCCUCGCGCUCUUGGAGCGGCCGAUGUCGGAUUAGCUAGUUGGUGAGGUAAAGGCUCACCAAGGCGACGAUCCGUAGCAGGUCUGAGAGGAUGAUCUGCCACACUGGAACUGAGACACGGUCCAGACUCCUACGGGAGGCAGCAGUGGGGAAUUUUGGACAAUGGGGGCAACCCUGAUCCAGCCAUGCCGCGUGAGUGAAGAAGGCCUUCGG
This 412-nucleotide ribosomal RNA is filed under the name bacterium enrichment culture clone ALO1_GLFRUDD03FM8B0. RNAcentral's name for it is "bacterial SSU rRNA". It matches the Rfam family "Bacterial small subunit ribosomal RNA", at positions 9 to 421 of the family's 1533-position model. The record is from RNAcentral.